Oncorhynchus tshawytscha (Chinook salmon) is the source of this 2779-nucleotide long non-coding RNA. The record is from Ensembl. Lineage: Eukaryota; Metazoa; Chordata; Actinopteri; Salmoniformes; Salmonidae.
GCAUUUUAAUAAAAAUAUAAAAUAUUAAAGAAAUGAAAUAACUAAAAUAUAGUUUUUGCAUAAGUAUUCAGCUUCCUGAGUCAACACAUGUUAGAAUCACCGUUGGCAACGGUUACAGCUGCCAAAAGUUUAUAAAAGCACCUGGAUUGUCAAAUAAUUUGCCCAUUAUUCUUUUCAUAAUUCUUCAAGCUCUGUUAAGAUGGUUGGGAUGAUGGCUAGACAGCUAUUUUCAAGACUUGCCAUAGAUUUUCAAGCAGAUUUCAAUCAAAACUGACUUGGCCACGAAGGAACAUUUACUGUCUUUUUGGUAAGCAAAUACAGUGUAUAUAUCAUCACCAUGCUUGAAAAUACCAUCACCGUGCUUGAAAAUACCAUCACCGUGCUUGAAAAUACCAUCACCAUGCUUGAAAUUAAGGAGGCAGUUACUCAGUGAUAUAUUGUUGGAUUUUCCCCAAACACAAGGCUUUGAUUUUAGGCCAAAAAGUGUAUUCCUUUGCCAUGUUUUUUUGCAGUAUUACUUUAGUACCCUGUUGCAUAAAAUAUGAAUGUUUUGGAAUAUUUUUACUCUGUAUUUUAUUCUUCUUUUCACUCACCUGGGUCAUUAUUGUAGUCACUACAAUGUUGUUGAUCCAUCCUCAGUUGUAUCCCAUCACAGACAUGAAACUCUGUUUUAUAAUCACCAAUGGCCUCAUGGGAACAUCCCUGAGCAGUUUCCUUUCUGUCCUGCAGCUCAGUUCAGAAAGAUGACUGUACCUUUGAUGUUUCUGGGUGAUUUAAUACAUCAUCAACAGCAUAAUUAUGAACCUGACCAUGCUUAAAGAGAUAUUCAAUGUCUGAUUUGAUAUUGUUACCCAUCUACAAUCAAUGCCCUUUAUGAGGCUUUCAAAAAGCUCCCUAGUCUUUGAAGUUGAAUUUGUACUUGAAAUUCAACGCUUGACUGAGGGACCUUACAGAUAUUGUAUGCAUGGGAGACAGAGGAAGGGUAAGACAUUUUUUUUUUAAACUGUCCAUUUUUAUUUUUUCAUACAGUGAUUCCAUUUAACCUAUGUGAUUUGUUAAGCCAAAUAUUACUCCUGAACUAAUUUAGGCCUGCCAGAACAAAGGGGCUUCAUACAUAUGCAACGACUGUAUUUUAGUUAUCAAACUUGUAUUGAUCUUUAAUGUUUAGAAUGUGGCAUUACAGAGUAUUUUGAGUAGAUUGUUGACAAAAAACGACAAUGAAAUAUAUUUUAAUCCCACUUUGUAACAAUAAAAUGUGAAGAAAUCCAAGGGGUAUGAAUACUUUUGGAAGAUAUUGAAGAUGUUUGACUGAUUAAAUUCUUGAUUGCUGUUUCUCAUAGAGUAGCUCUUUUUACAGAUGGCUUCACAGUUGAUGAAAAGGACACUCAUCAACAAAUACAUUGUGGCAGAGCCCAUCAAAAUAUUCAACAUUGAUGAUCCCCCUUGUUAUUUUGGGGAGUUUAGUUACAUUCAUUAUAGUCAUCAAAUGUUAUGACCAGAAAAUGCCCAAACAUGCAGUUAUGGACCCCAAAGUAAAAGGCUGGUUUCUUCAAGUCAUUAAGGAAACAAUGCAUCCUGUUAUGAGGAUCAUUCUUUGAACCAUGGCAUUUGGUACAGACUUUCCAGAGGCCUACAGAAACAUCCAUGAGGAGUGGGUGGAGGCGCAGACAAGGACAUCGGAUGUUGAGUAUGACAUGGAGUACUAUGUCCCAUCUGGGAAAUAUGCAAAGUUAAAGAUUGUAGUGUAGAUAACACAAACUGUUGAGCCAUCGUUUUUACUGACGUGGGUUAAAGGGAUAAUUCAAGAGUUUGGCAACUAAACCCUUUUAAAAGUUAAAAGUUGAAGGUAGCGUGCGUCCUGCUCCCUGUAGACUUUCAGUAAUUGUGCUAAUGCUAGUUAGCAAUGGCUCCAGAAACUAAUGUACUUUUAACGUCCUUCAAACUGCACACAGACGUUGUAUCCAUGAGUUCCUCUGACUCUGGGUAAGUAGAAAAAAGGGCUUAAAUGCAACAAUCCCAAACUAUCCCUUUAAAAGUCAUGCAAGUCUUUGAGCUACAAUACAGACACGAUCGGUUGCUCAUGCCAGAACCAACAGGUGGACUGUCUUGAUAUUUGUUUUGCUUCCAUGGGGUCCUUAGUUAUCUGGUGGCAGAGUUGCAAAGAAAAAGCCAUAUCUCAGACUGGUCAAUAACAACAACAAAAAAGAUUAAGAUGGGCGAAAGAACACAAACACUGGACAGAGGAACUCUGCCUAGAAGGCCAGCAUCCCGGAGUCGCCUCUUCACUGUUGACGUUGAGACUGGUGUUUUGCGGGUACUAUUUAAUGAAGCUGCCAGUUGAGGACUUGAGGCAUCUAUUUCUCAAACUAGACACUCUAAUGUACUUGUCCUCUUGUUCAGUUGUUCACCGGGGCCUCCCACUCCUCUUUCUAUUCUGGUUAGGGACAGUUUGUGCUGUUCUGUGAAGGGAGUAGUACACGGCGUUGUACGAGAUCUUCAGUUUCUUGGCAAUUUCAAGCAUGGAAUAGCCUUCGUUUCUCAGAAACAAGAAUAGACUGACGAGUUUCAGAAGAAAGGUCUUUGUUUCUGGCCAUUUUGAGCCUGUAAUCGAAUCCCACAAAUGCUGAUGCUCCAGAUACUCAACUAGUCUAAAGAAGGCCAGUUUUAUUGCUUCUUUAAUCAGAAUCAUAGUUUUCAGCUGUGCUAGCAUAAUUGCAAAAGGGUUUUCUAAUGAUCAAUUAGCCUUUUAAAAUUAUAAACUUGGAUUAACUAACACAAC